Molecule: long non-coding RNA, 357 nt
Filed under: Callithrix jacchus (white-tufted-ear marmoset)
Lineage: Eukaryota; Metazoa; Chordata; Mammalia; Primates; Cebidae
Description: lncRNA (ENSCJAG00000069718.1)
Source: RNAcentral
GAACCCCCUGCCCUAAGUCUGCUUCUACUGGUUCUGUGGACUCUCCAGUCUGUCUUAUUGUUUCUGAGACAAGGUCUUGCUCUGUUGCCCAGGCUGGAAUGCAGUGGCAUGAUCAUGGCUCACUGCAGCCUUGAUUUCCUGGGCUCAAGUGAUCCUCCUACCUCAGCCCUCUGAAGAGCUGGGACUACAGACAUGAGCCACCAUGCUUGACUAAUUUUUCAGUUUUUGUAAAGACAGGGUCUUGCUAUGUUGCCCAGACAUUGCACAGUUCAAAGUUCACAGACGUGAAUUGUGAAGAUUCUUCUAGAUGGAAAUAUCUCAGCUCAUAAUCCUCGAAAGAAUAAGUGCCUGGAGCUU